This 637-nucleotide ribosomal RNA is filed under the name uncultured bacterium. RNAcentral's name for it is "bacterial SSU rRNA". It matches the Rfam family "Bacterial small subunit ribosomal RNA", at positions 607 to 1244 of the family's 1533-position model. The record is from RNAcentral.
GCUUAACCGGAGAAGUGCAUCGGAAACUGGGAGACUUGAGUGCAGAAGAGGACAGUGGAACUCCAUGUGUAGCGGUGGGAUGCGUAGAUAUAUGGAAGAACACCAGUGGCGAAGGCGGCUGUCUAGUCUGUAACUGACGCUGAGGCUCGAAAGCAUGGGUAGCGAACAGGAUUAGAUACCCAGGUAGUCCAUGCCGUAAACGAUGAGUGCUAAGUGUUGGAGGGUUUCCGCCCUUCAGUGCUGCAGCUAACGCAUUAAGCACUCCGCCUGGGGAGUACGACCGCAAGGUUGAAACUCAAAGGAAUUGACGGGGGCCCGCACAAGCGGUGGAGCAUGUGGUUUAAUUCGAAGCUACGCGAAGAACCUUACCAGGUCUUGACACCUUCUGCCAAUCUUAGAGAUAAGACGUUCCCUUCGGGGACAGAAUGACAGGUGGUGCAUGGUUGUCGUCAGCUCGUGUCGUGAGAUGUUGGGUUAAGCCCCGCAACGAGCGCAACCCUUAUUAUCAGUUGCCAGCAUUCAGUUGGGCACUCUGGUGAGACUGCCGGUGACAAACCGGAGGAAGGUGGGGAUGACGUCAAAUCAUCAUGCCCCUUAUGACCUGGGCUACACACGUGCUACAAUGGACGGUACAACG